CCUACGGGAGGCAGCAGUGAGGAAUAUUGGUCAAUGGACGAGAGUCUGAACCAGCCAAGUAGCGUGAAGGAUGACUGCCCUAUGGGUUGUAAACUUCUUUUAUAUGGGAAUAAAAUGUUCCACGUGUGGGAUUUUGUAUGUACCAUAUGAAUAAGGAUCGGCUAACUCCGUGCCAGCAGCCGCGGUAAUACGGUGGAUCCGAGCGUUAUCCGGAUUUAUUGGGUUUAAAGGGAGCGUAGGUGGAUUGUUAAGUCAGUUGUGAAAGUUUGCGGCUCAACCGUAAAAUUGCAGUUGAAACUGGCAGUCUUGAGUACAGUAGAGGUGAGCGGAAUUCGUGGUGUAGCGGUGAAAUGCUUAGAUAUCACGAAGAACUCCGAUUGCGAAGGCAGUUCACUGGACUGCAACUGACACUGAGGCUCGAAAGUGUGGGUAUCAAACAGGAUUAGAUACCCUUGUAGUC
RNAcentral lists this ribosomal RNA (460 nucleotides) under uncultured bacterium. RNAcentral describes it as "partial 16S ribosomal RNA". It matches the Rfam family "Bacterial small subunit ribosomal RNA", at positions 338 to 795 of the family's 1533-position model. The record is from RNAcentral.